RNAcentral lists this unclassified non-coding RNA (497 nucleotides) under Allium eurotophilum. Its description in RNAcentral is "partial external transcribed spacer". Lineage: Eukaryota; Viridiplantae; Streptophyta; Magnoliopsida; Asparagales; Amaryllidaceae. The record is from RNAcentral.
ACCCAACACUGGCACUGCCGUACACUCACCAACAACUACACACGUGAUGCAGUCCGAGGGACGAAACAACGCCGGUUGACUGCUCAUGGUGCAUGGAGAAAAGUAUGGAUACACAACUUAAAGUGAUCCAAACUACAACGGUAGUACCUUUAACCUGGCCCAAGCCUAAUCUUACAAGUUACUACGAAUAAACAUGACGGGGAGCAGAAUAGGUUCGCAAAUUCCCCAUGUUUCAACCUUUGAAACCAUAACACUAACGAAGUAACACAACGGAUAGUAAAAAUAGCAACUCACGAGGUUUCUAAAAUGCCCACAACACGUACGAUUUCUAAGAACCCUUCGGAAGGGAAACACGAAUAUUAAAUAUCGAGCCAAAACGGUCGUGGCUAGACUUAUUUCCGGGACGUGCACAGCACCGCAUCGAACUCCUCCUUAUGUUUUGCAAUAACACAUCCACAAAUUUUCCUGCACGAUGGACCAACUAGGACGGUCAUCAG